UACGUAGGUGGCGAGCGUUGUCCGGAAUUACUGGGUGUAAAGCGCGUGUAGGCGGGAGGCCAAGUCUGCGGUGAAAUCGCUCGGCUCAACUGGGCGGGGUCCGUGGAAACUGGUCACCUGGAGGACGGUAGAGGCGAGUGGAAUUCCCGGUGUAGUGGUGAAAUGCGCAGAUAUCGGGAAGAACACCCGUGGCGAAGGCGGUUCUCUGGGGCGGUACUGACGCUGAGACGCGAAAGCGUGGGGAGCGAACAGG
RNAcentral lists this ribosomal RNA (253 nucleotides) under uncultured bacterium. RNAcentral's name for it is "partial 16S ribosomal RNA". It matches the Rfam family "Bacterial small subunit ribosomal RNA", at positions 524 to 776 of the family's 1533-position model. The record is from RNAcentral.